Molecule: ribosomal RNA, 393 nt
Filed under: Pseudopirsonia sp.
Lineage: Eukaryota; Cercozoa; Imbricatea; Marimonadida
Description: partial small subunit ribosomal RNA
Rfam family: Eukaryotic small subunit ribosomal RNA
Source: RNAcentral
AGCUCCAGUAGCGUAUAUUAAAGUUGUUGCAGUUAAAAAGCUCGUAGUUGGAUUUCUGGUUUGGCGAGCCUGACCCGCUGCUAUUUGCAGUGUGUGUCGGUCGUUUGCCUACCAUCCUUCCAGAGAACUUUGCCUCCCCUUCAUUGGGACGGGCUAGCGAUCUGGAACUUUUACUUUGAAAAAAUUAGAGUGUUCAAAGCAGGCUUUGCGCUAUGAAUACAUUAGCAUGGAAUAAUAAUUUAGGACUACGGUUCUAUUUUGUUGGUUUCUAGAACUGAAGUAAUGAUUGAUAGGGAUAGUUGGGGGUGCUAGUAUUCAGCGGCCAGAGGUGAAAUUCUUGGAUUCGCUGAAGACUAACUUAUGCGAAAGCAUUCACCAAGGAUGUCUUCUUUA